RNAcentral lists this long non-coding RNA (515 nucleotides) under Phoenix dactylifera (date palm). RNAcentral describes it as "long non-coding RNA (PDAC_LNC022216)". Lineage: Eukaryota; Viridiplantae; Streptophyta; Magnoliopsida; Arecales; Arecaceae. The record is from RNAcentral.
AAUAGACACAAUAUAGAUACAAAGGCACAAGAAAUCAUGAAAAGGUAGGAUACGAUAGGGGCAAUCUGUGUGUGUGUGUGUGUGCAGGGUUUUGCGCAUGUGUAAUAGCUUGUAUAUGUAAAUUUAUGUGUCUGUAUUAUUUAGGAUGUAAAAUAGCAUCCAUAAGCAUAGUGGGUUAUCAAAAUAGUAGAAUUCAUACUUUAGGCAAUAGUAUCAACAUCCACAAACUCUAUCAUUUAGUCAUCUUUCAAAUACAUAUAUUAUAAUCCAAACUUUAUCGAAUAACAUCAAUGUUGCAAACUUCAAAAUUAACCAUUUAUCAUUAAAAGGUCAACAUUCAUCAAGAACAAAAGAAAGAAGGAAAUUAAAUAAAACCCUUCCAUUUGGAGGUAUAGCCAUAUAGGUGAAGUAUUUCAGUCAUAUUUGAGAGGCAUGCAAAGUCCUUUCUAAUUUCAAAAUUAAAAGCAUAUCCUAGAAGUAUGUGACAAGCAUCAAUAUUGGAUUCAUAUUCAAUA